This 484-nucleotide ribosomal RNA is filed under the name uncultured bacterium. RNAcentral's name for it is "partial 16S ribosomal RNA". It matches the Rfam family "Bacterial small subunit ribosomal RNA", at positions 30 to 507 of the family's 1533-position model. The record is from RNAcentral.
AUUGAACGCUGGCGGCAGGCCUAACACAUGCAAGUCGAGCGGAUGAAGGGAGCUUGCUCCUGGAUUCAGCGGCGGACGGGUGAGUAAUGCCUAGGAAUCUGCCUGGUAGUGGGGGAUAACGUCCGGAAACGGGCGCUAAUACCGCAUACGUCCUGAGGGAGAAAGUGGGGGAUCUUCGGACCUCACGCUAUCAGAUGAGCCUAGGUCGGAUUAGCUAGUUGGUGGGGUAAAGGCCUACCAAGGCGACGAUCCGUAACUGGUCUGAGAGGAUGAUCAGUCACACUGGAACGGAGACACGGUCCAGACUCCUACGGGAGGCAGCAGUGGGGAAUAUUGGACAAUGGGCGAAAGCCUGAUCCAGCCAUGCCGCGUGUGUGAAGAAGGUCUUCGGAGUGUAAAGCACUUUAAGUUGGGAGGAAGGGCAGUAAGUUAAUACCUUGCUGUUUUGACGUUACCAACAGAAUAAGCACCGGCUAACUUCGUG